This 488-nucleotide ribosomal RNA is filed under the name uncultured soil bacterium. RNAcentral's name for it is "bacterial SSU rRNA". It matches the Rfam family "Bacterial small subunit ribosomal RNA", at positions 26 to 525 of the family's 1533-position model. The record is from RNAcentral.
AGAUUGAACGCUGGCGGCAUGCUUUACACAUGCAAGUCGAACGGUAACAGGCCGCAAGGUGCUGACGAGUGGCGAACGGGUGAGUAAUGUAUCGGAACGUGCCCAGUCGUGGGGGAUAACGCAGCGAAAGCUGCGCUAAUACCGCAUACGAUCUAUGGAUGAAAGCGGGGGACCGUAAGGCCUCGCGCGAUUGGAGCGGCCGAUAUCAGAUUAGGUAGUUGGUGGGGUAAAGGCGUCACCAAGCCAACGAUCUGUAGCUGGUCUGAGAGGACGACCAGCCACACUGGGACUGAGACACGGCCCAGACUCCUACGGGAGGCAGCAGUGGGGAAUUUUUGGACAAUGGGCGCAAGCCUGAUCCAGCAAUGCCGCGUGCAGGAAGAAGGCCUUCGGGUUGUAACUGCUUUUGUACGGAACGAACGUCUGGUUAAUACCGUGGGCUAAGUGACGGUACGUAAGAAGUAACGACGACCGACUAACGUACGUCG